UCGAGAAGUUGACUUCCGCAAGGACACUCGUAGAGGUGCUGCAUGGCUGUCGUCAGCUCGUGUCGUGAGAUGUUGGGUUAAGUCCCGCAACGAGCGCAACCCUUGUCUUCUGUUGCCAUCAGGUCAAGCUGGGCACUCUGGAGAGACUGCCGGUGAUAAACCGGAGGAAGGUGGGGAUGACGUCAAGUCAGCAUGGCCUUUAUGUCUGGGGCUACACACGUGCUACAAUGGCCGGCACAAACCGUCGCGAGCCCGCAAGGGGGAGCUAAUCGGAUAAAGUCGGUCUCAGUUCGGAUCGUCGGCUGCAACUCGCCGGCGUGAAGUUGGAAUCGCUAGUAAUCGCGGAUCAGCACGCCGCGGUGAAUACGUUCCCGGGCCUUGUACACACCGCCCGUCACAUCACGAAAGCCGGUUGUACUAGAAGUCGCCACACCAACCCGCAAGGGAGGGAGGCGCCUAAGGUAUGGUCGGUGAUUGGGGUGAAGUCGUAACAAGGUAACCGU
Molecule: ribosomal RNA, 503 nt
Filed under: uncultured Acidobacteriota bacterium
Lineage: Bacteria; Pseudomonadati; Acidobacteriota
Description: bacterial SSU rRNA
Rfam family: Bacterial small subunit ribosomal RNA
Source: RNAcentral